Molecule: ribosomal RNA, 253 nt
Filed under: uncultured bacterium
Lineage: Bacteria
Description: partial 16S ribosomal RNA
Rfam family: Bacterial small subunit ribosomal RNA
Source: RNAcentral
UACAGAGGGGGCAAGCGUUGUUCGGAAUUACUGGGCGUAAAGCGUGCGCAGGCGGCUGUGCAAGACAGAUGUGAAAUCCCCGGGCUCAACCUGGGAACUGCAUUUGUGACUGCACAGCUAGAGUACGGCAGAGGGGGAUGGAAUUCCGCGUGUAGCAGUGAAAUGCGUAGAUAUGCGGAGGAACACCGAUAGCGAAGGCAAUCCCCUGGGCCUGUACUGACGCUCAUGCACGAAAGCGUGGGGAGCAAACAGG